RNAcentral lists this ribosomal RNA (470 nucleotides) under uncultured organism. RNAcentral's name for it is "partial 16S ribosomal RNA". It matches the Rfam family "Bacterial small subunit ribosomal RNA", at positions 335 to 797 of the family's 1533-position model. The record is from RNAcentral.
ACUCCUACGGGAGGCAGCAGUGGGGAAUUUUGGACAAUGGGCGAAAGCCUGAUCCAGCAAUGCCGCGUGAGUGAAGAAGGCCUUCGGGUUGUAAAGCUCUUUUGUCAGGGAAGAAACGGUGACAGCUAAUAUCUUUUGCUAAUGACGGUAGCUGAAGAAUAAGCACCGGCUAACUACGUGCCAGCAGCCGCGGUAAUACGUAGGGUGCAAGCGUUAAUCGGAAUUACUGGGCGUAAAGCGUGCGCAGGCGGUGUUGUAAGUCUGAUGUGAAAUCCCCGGGCUCAACCUGGGAAUUGCAUUGGAGACUGCAAGGCUAGAAUCUGGCAGAGGGGGGUAGAAUUCCACGUGUAGCAGUGAAAUGCGUAGAUAUGUGGAGGAACACCGAUGGCGAAGGCAGCCCCCUGGGUCAAGAUUGACGCUCAUGCACGAAAGCGUGGGGAGCAAACAGGAUUAGAAACCCGUGUAGUCCC